Molecule: unclassified non-coding RNA, 2442 nt
Filed under: Anneissia japonica
Lineage: Eukaryota; Metazoa; Echinodermata; Crinoidea; Comatulida; Comatulidae
Description: uncharacterized LOC117116144, transcript variant X3
Source: RNAcentral
GAAAAAUUAUGAGCUUAAAACAGGCCGAGGCACGGCCAUACAUACGGCCUACAUUUCAUAAACGUCACACAUUCAACUAGAAGCUGUAAAAUGCCAAAAGAUUGAGCAAGUGACUGAUAAUGGCACAAAAAAUCCAACCAAACCAACAGAGCAUAACACUAAAAAUUAAUGGAGAAGCUCCAGCGAUAUUUCAAUAUCCAACGACUAACAUAGAAUUCAAUGAAAGUCAAUCUACACGGAGUAAAGAGAAAAGCCCAACAUUAAAUAUGAAACAGCAGCAGAAAUAUAAAUUUUUUGACCGAAGACACACAUCAUUAGAUAAUGAUAUCAGGCAACUUGAUUUGGAUAAAGAACGUGUACAGCUGAUUAUUCCAAUACUUCAGCAACAUAAAAAGAAAAUUGUAAUAAGUGCUUUACAAAAAUAUGUAGAAGAAUGUGGCCUUUUGCAGCAACCAAGUUUAUCCUAUGGGAAUCAAGAACUGAAUACAAAUGAAGUUAAUGGUACACUCGGAUAUAUUAAUGAAAAUCUGCAGGGACAAAUAUGUCAAGGAACCUUUCCAUCCAUAGAUAGUACAAGUUUUAGUUCCCUUCAUGGAGAUUUAAAGACACACACUCAAGACAAGAUACCAAGUUCAUCAUAUGGCAUUCAGGAACUGAAUACAAAUGAAGGUAAUGGUACACUCAGACUAAACUCUAAUGAAAAUCUGCUGAGACAAACAACUUAUCCAGGAACCUUUCCAGCUAUAAAUGGUUCAAGUUUUAGUUCCCUUAAGGGAAAUAUAAAGACACACACUCAAGACAACAUACAAAACAUUGAAGAAAGAAUAAAAAACUCAAUCGAUAAGCUGAAACUUAAUUUUGAGGAACUUUCAGAAAUUGUCAAAAGCCUGCCAAAAGUGUUAGCAGUAGAGCCAACGGAUCUUAACCAUGGAGUAAAUAGUGAAGUGGAUGGAACUCAAGAAUGUUACAUACAAAAUGAUAAAGUAUUAGAACUCUUCAAAGAACUCAUGCUACGGGGUGAAGAAUAUCAUAAGUGUAUACAGACCCUUGCGAAAAAAGUUGACAUUCAAAUAGGGAUAGCUACAAUGCGUAAAAAAAAUGAACAGCUCAGACACAAAGAUACUCAGUUGGCAGAUUUAAGAGAAGAAGUUUCACAAUUACGUGCGAUAAUCAGUAAAAAGCCAACAGAAAGAAGUAACAUUGAACCAAAGCCUCCUUCAUCAUUAAGAUCACCAGAACAGGAAGCACAUCAGAACAGACAUAGAGGUCACAUGCCAAACUCAGUAUAUAAGCGCAAUUUAUUUAGCAAGGUGCCUAAAGAUGGGGAUUGAUGGGAUCCAUUAACAAUCUGAAUUUUAAAUCUGAAUUUCACAGCUAAAUAAAAAACUCAUAGAAGAUCAAAGCCAUGGAACUGCCAAAUUUAGCACCUAAGGGCAAUGUUCUUGGCAUCUCAAAAACAGGGUGUCAAACUUUCUAGAACCUACAGGAAAAUUAACAUCUCGACGAGAUUUGAUUGACAUAUAAACCGAUUAAUCAGCGAGCGUCAUUUAGUCACAUGAUCGAAAACAUUUUCUCGGACAUUUUAAUUUCCUUAGACAGCUGGUAUAAAUGCGAAACAUACAUGAGCCUAGGCCUAGAUGUCUAUGCUUGGUUAUACUGUAGAUACCCAGAUUUACACGAGCAAUGCGCGUCAGUGACUCGGCCUUUGCCGACAACAAGGUUGACUUACUGCGGCUUUUCCUUUGGGAGUGAAAUACAGAGGCUUUUACAACAAUUUCCCCGCCAUGUUCCAUGAAAUAGAUAACACUAUGAAUGUUUGAUUCAUUUUCAUACCGCCUAACCUGAAUUCUCUUUCUUAAAGAUGGUUGAUAGCAAAGAAAAUUUUUGCCAACUUGGUAUGUCGUACAUCACAAUGUAGAAGCUGAAUGACUUACAAUAAGAUAAGGCAAGUCAAUAAAAAAUAAGGACUUUUUAUUCAUUGUAGAUGAAAAUUGAUUAAUGCAAUAAUUUCGAAGACAUACAAGGCUUGCCAUCCCAAAACCAGCAUAUCCUGUCGCUAAAUGUUAAUCUGAGUAAUUACCAUAAGAAUGUGUCAAUAAUUUAUGCUAUAAUGCAAAGAAAUACAAUACAGUAGAGAGAAACGUAAUGCUACUCAUAAAUUUGGAAAUAGUAAGUUGAUUCCAGUAAAUUUAUUCUAUCCCAAAUUUAAUUUUAUAUCCCAAAUUAUUCUAAAGUUUAUAAUAUAAUUAAAAAAGUCAAUUUUCAUUUUGUUGGUCUCCGAUGCUGGUUUUGGGAUUGCAAACCUCAUACUAUGCAGGACUGUUAGAAUGGAUAAGGAUGAAUUUCAGCAUGACUGCCAAUUUAUUUGAUUAAGAACAUUUAAAAUUUAUAAUUAGGGAGCAAGGGUGCUGUAACAGCUACAGCCAUAAUAUCGGGGCUGAU